UUAAAUAAUAGAGUAAAAUUUUCUAUUAAUGAAUCAAACAUCAUCUGAUAACAUUUUUAAUAUCCUCGCAGCGGAAAUAGUGUUCAUAAAUCUUUUCAACCAAAAUAUGGCUCUAAGGCCUCAACGUGUUCAACAUUAAUACAAAAAUCCAACUAAAUGGUUUCAACAUAAAAUCUCAAGGAAAAAUACGUAACAAGGACAAUCCAACAUUAAAACCCGCCCCGUUACGUAUCAGAGCAUCCUAAGACCAUGAGGGAGUCGACUCACAACUUCAGCUAGUCUUGAAUAUCUGCACUUGCCCACAAGGCGGCAAUUUCAGCAGAAGGGGUGAGAUACAUAUACAGUAAUAAUAAUAAUUCAUCAACAUAGAAUUAGUAAUUUAAAACAUCAUGAACAUCAACAUAUUAUUUCUUCAUUUAACUACACAACUUUUCAAUGCCUCUCAUUAAUUCUAUCACAACUCGAUAACACGACAAUGCUUCGUCGACUUAGAUAACAUGACUCCAACUUAAACAACUUAGACGACUUGACUAUGCGGCGUGCAUGUGGUACCAAUCAGGGCAUCAAGCCCCCAACAAAUUUUGAGCGUAGGCUCACAGGGCAUCAAGCCCCCAACGGGUUUGAGCAUAGGCUCACAGGGCAUCAAGCCCCCAACGGGUUUGAGCAUAAGCUCACAGGGCAUCAAGCCCUCAACUUUAAUGCAUAUGUGGACUCUGUAAAAUGCCAAGACAACCAGCAACUUAAUCAACUUAGACAACUUCUUACAACUCAUAUGACCUUGACUCGACGACAAGGAUUCUACUCCACAACAUCCUAAUUCAUCAUACAACUUCGUAAAUUCAUAUAAAAUUAUUCACAAGGAAUUUUUGUAUCAAACCNNNNNNNNNNNNCAAUUCUGUACCGAUCAGUACCGGAUUUUAUUUCCAAUUCGGGUACAGAGGCUGAAGUUUCACUGUGACCUACGUGCAGUAAUUUGACUAUAACUUACGUUCCAAAAAUGCUUUUGAAGUCAAACCAAAUCCAUUAGAAAGCUAACAGCUUUAUCUACAACUUUCGUGUUUACACCUAAGACCAAUUUCUUACCGAUCAAUACCAGUUGUUAUUUCAAACUCGGGUACAGAAGCUAAAGUUUCACUAAAAUUCACCGUUCAUCAUAAUUUAACCACUUUUUAAUAAUAACCCUUUUUCAUAUAAUCUCCUUAGACUCUCUUAGUUUUUUAGAAAUCAAACACCCAAUAUCACUAAUCAUCUAACAACAGUUAUUCUAACAUGAUUCAGGGGCUUCUUAUUCCAUUAUUAAUCAAAUUCAUAGUUAACCUAGUUUUCCCAAUUUUCAUCAAUUCUCAUACUAAAUCAAUUUUCAGAACUACAUGCUUAUAAUUAAAGUAUAAAUUCUCACCCUUACCUUAGGUUUGAUGAACGAACAAUCCUACAGCUGCUCUUGAUUCUCUAAGCCUCUUCUCUCUUGGUGCCUCUCCCUUUUCUCCAAAACCCUUUUUUUUUUUUUUGUUUUUUACGUGAAAGAGUUUUUCUCUUUUGUGACUUCUAUUUCUUAACCUCCCACUUCCUUAUUUAAUUCCUAAUAAUUCCACUUAAUACUAUUAUUUCCAUCUAACUCCAAUUCCAACCCCUUAACUCUACUUAUUCCCUUUACUACUCUUCUCCUUACAAUUAAUUAAAAUAAAGCCAUUCAAUUAAAAAUACAUCACAUAAAUACAAUAAAUCAAAUAAAUAGACUCUAUAUUUAAUAAAAUAAAUAAAAGCAACUAGGGCGUUACAA
Molecule: long non-coding RNA, 1780 nt
Filed under: Trifolium pratense (red clover)
Lineage: Eukaryota; Viridiplantae; Streptophyta; Magnoliopsida; Fabales; Fabaceae
Description: long non-coding RNA (TPRA_LNC012250)
Source: RNAcentral